RNAcentral lists this ribosomal RNA (397 nucleotides) under uncultured eukaryote. RNAcentral's name for it is "SSU rRNA". It matches the Rfam family "Eukaryotic small subunit ribosomal RNA", at positions 567 to 972 of the family's 1831-position model. The record is from RNAcentral.
CCAGCACCUGCGGUAAUUCCAGCUCCAAUAGCGUAUAUUAAAGUUGUUGCAGUUAAAAAGCUCGUAGUCGGACUUCUGGCCGUGUCGGACGGUCCGCCGCAAGGUGUGCACUGUUCGGGGCGGCCACCCUCUUGAGGACCGCGUGUGCCCUUCACUGGGUGGGCGCGGGACUCAGGACCUUUACUUUGAAAAAAUUAGAGUGUUCAAAGCAGGCUUACGCUUGAAUACAUUAGCAUGGAAUAAUGGAAUAGGACUUUGGUUCUAUUUUGUUGGUUCUAGGACCGAAGUAAUGAUUAAUAGGGACAGUUGGGGCCGUUUAUAUUCCGUUGUCAGAGGUGAAAUUCUUGGAUUUACGGAAGAUAAACUUCUGCGAAAGCAUUCGGCAAGGAUGUUUUCA